Molecule: ribosomal RNA, 460 nt
Filed under: uncultured bacterium
Lineage: Bacteria
Description: partial 16S ribosomal RNA
Rfam family: Bacterial small subunit ribosomal RNA
Source: RNAcentral
CCUACGGGAGGCAGCAGUGAGGAAUAUUGGUCAAUGGACGCGAGCCUGAACCAGCCAAGUAGCGUGAAGGAUGACUGCCCUACGGGUUGUAAACUUCUUUUAUAUGGGAAUAAAGUGUUCCACGUGUGCCUUUUUGUAUGUACUAUAUGAAUAAGGAUCGGCUAACUCCGUGCCAGCAGCCGCGGUAAUACGGAGGAUCCGAGCGUUAUCCGGAUUUAUUGGGUUUAAAGGGAGCGUAGGUGGGUUGUUAAGUCAGUUGUGAAAGUUUGCGGCUCAACCGUAAAAUUGCAAUUGAUACUGGCAGUCUUGAGUACAGUAGAGGUAGGCGGAAUUCGUGGUGUAGCGGUGAAAGGCUUAGAUAUCACGAAGAACUCCGAUUGCGAAGGCAGCUGACUAAACUGCCACUGACAUUGAGGCUCGAAAGUGUGGGUAUCAAACAGGAUUAGAUACCCUGGUAGUC